GAUGAACGCUGGCGGCGUGCCUAAUACAUGCAAGUCGAGCGAACAGACGAGGAGCUUGCUCCUCUGACGUUAGCGGCGGACGGGUGAGUAACACGUGGAUAACCUACCUAUAAGACUGGGAUAACUUCGGGAAACCGGAGCUAAUACCGGAUAAUAUAUUGAACCGCAUGGUUCAAUAGUGAAAGACGGUUUUGCUGUCACUUAUAGAUGGAUCCGCGCCGCAUUAGCUAGUUGGUAAGGUAACGGCUUAUCAAGGCGACGAUGCGUAGCCGACCUGAGAGGGUGAUCGGCCACACUGGAACUGAGAAACGGUCCAGACUCCUACGGGAGGCAGCAGUAGGGAAUCUUCCGCAAUGGGCGAAAGCCUGACGGAGCAACGCCGCGUGAGUGAUGAAGGUCUUCGGAUCGUAAAACUCUGUUAUUAGGGAAGAACAAAUGUGUAAGUAACUAUGCACGUCUUGACGGUACCUAAUCAGAAAGCCACGGCUAACUACGUG
RNAcentral lists this ribosomal RNA (497 nucleotides) under uncultured bacterium. Its description in RNAcentral is "partial 16S ribosomal RNA". It matches the Rfam family "Bacterial small subunit ribosomal RNA", at positions 28 to 507 of the family's 1533-position model. The record is from RNAcentral.